This 529-nucleotide ribosomal RNA is filed under the name uncultured bacterium. RNAcentral describes it as "partial 16S ribosomal RNA". It matches the Rfam family "Bacterial small subunit ribosomal RNA", at positions 28 to 523 of the family's 1533-position model. The record is from RNAcentral.
GACGAACGCUGGCGGCGUGCCUAAUACAUGCAAGUCGAGCGAGCAAUUUUAGCAGAAUACCUUCGGGUAGGAAGCUAAGAGCGCGAGCGGCGGAUGGGUGAGUAACACGUGGGCAACCUACCCUUUAGCUGGGGAUACCACUUGGAAACAGGUGCUAAUACCGAAUAAGAAGCAAGAGCGCAUGCUCAAGCUAUGAAAGGCGGCUUUAAGCUGUCACUAAAGGAUGGGCCCGCGGUGCAUUAGCUAGUUGGUAAGGUAACGGCUUACCAAGGGGAUGAUGCAUAGCCGAGUUGAGAGACUGAACGGCCACAUUGGGACUGAAACACGGCCCAAACUCCUACGGGAGGCAGCAGUAGGGAAUCUUCCACAAUGGACGCAAGUCUGAUGGAGCAACGCCGCGUGAGUGAAGAAGGUUUUCGGAUCGUAAAGCUCUGUUGUUGGUGAAGAAGGAUAAGGAUAGUAACUGAUUCAUAUUUGACGGUAAUCAACCAGAAAGUCACGGCUAACUACGUGCCAGCAGCCGCCGUAA